AUGGGUCUCGGCGGCGACCACGACGCGGCGGUGGUAAGCACCCUUCGGGAGGCUGCGGUCAUGGUGUGGGAGGAGUCCAGGCGCCUCUGGGGCAUCGGCACGCCCAUCGUCGUGGCCACGGUCAGCAUGUACGUCCUCGGCUCCGUCACCACCAUCUUCGUCGGCCACCUCGGCAACCUGCCCCUCGCGGCCGCCUCCAUCGGGCUCUCCGUCUUCUUCACCUGCUCCUUCGGAUUCUUGCUUGGCAUGGGUAGCGCUCUGGAGACGCUGUGCGGGCAGGCGUUCGGCGCCGGCCAGGUGGCCAUGCUCGGCGUCUACCUGCAGCGCUCGUGGAUCGUCCUCAUCGUCGCCGCGUUCCUCAUGGUGCCCUUCUACGUCUUGGCCGAGCCGCUCCUCCUCGCAAUCGGCCAGGACCCCGUCGUGGCGCGCGAGGCGGCACGCUUCGCGCUCUACAUGCUCCCCGGCGCAUUCUCCUUGGCCGUCAACUUCCCCACCGCCAAGUUCCUCCAGGCGCAGAGCAAGGUCCUCGUGCUCGCCUGGAUCGGCGUCACGGGCCUCUGCUUCCACGUCGCGCUCACCUACCUUCUCGUCACCGUCCUAGGGUGGGGCUUCCGGGGCGCCGCCGCCGCCUACGACCUCACGCUCUGGGCCAUCGCGCUGGGCCAGGCGGCCUAUAUCAUCGGCUGGUGCAAGGACGGCUGGAGGGGCUGGUCCAUGGCGGCGUUCAGCGACAUGUGGGCGUUUGUCAAGCUCUCGCUCGAGUCCGCCGUCAUGCUCUGCCUUGAGGUUUGGUACCUCGGUAUGAUCACCGUCCUCACCGGCCACCUCCAGGAUGCUCAGAUUGCCGUGGACUCGCUUGGCAUCUGCAUGAAUAUAAACGGGUGGGAGUUUAUGACCUUCAUUGGCCUAAAUGCUGCUAUCAGUGUUCGAGUCUCCAAUGAGCUGGGCUCUAACCGUCCAAGGGCAGCUAUGUAUGCUGUCAUCGUUGUCGUCGUCGAGUCAUUGCUCAUUGGGAUACUAUGCAUGGCCCUCGUGUUGAUGUUCAGAAAUAACUUCUCCAUCAUCUUCACUAGCGAUUUGGAGCUCCAGCACGCCGUCUCCAAGAUUGCCGGACUGCUUGGUUUGACCAUGGUGAUCAACAGUGUGCAGCCGAUUCUUUCAGGGGUUGCUAUUGGGGGAGGAUGGCAAGGCCUUGUUGCAUACAUCAACCUAGGCUGCUUCUAUAUUUUUGGAUUGCCCUUGGGCUAUCUUCUCGGCUACAAGUUAAACUAUGGAGUUGGGGGCAUUUGGGCUGGCAUGCUUUGCGGGAUUGCACUUCAGACAAUGAUCUUACUCUUCAUAGUGUGGAGAGCAGAUUGGAACGCAGAGGCCGCCCUAGCUUCAAGUCGUGUGCAAAAGUGGGCCGGCACAGAUGGAACAAGACCUCUCUUGGAAGAUAAUUAG
RNAcentral lists this ribosomal RNA (1443 nucleotides) under Triticum aestivum (bread wheat). RNAcentral describes it as "partial small subunit ribosomal RNA". Lineage: Eukaryota; Viridiplantae; Streptophyta; Magnoliopsida; Poales; Poaceae. The record is from RNAcentral.